Rhinolophus ferrumequinum (greater horseshoe bat) is the source of this 511-nucleotide long non-coding RNA. RefSeq lists it as uncharacterized. The record is from RefSeq and is a predicted model, not a curated record. The transcript has 2 exons. NCBI's taxonomy places the organism in Eukaryota, Metazoa, Chordata, Mammalia, Chiroptera, Rhinolophidae.
UUGUUUCUCUCUAGAACAACUUUCAUUUUAAAAGUGUGUAAAACGCUCUCAUGUGUGUGAGCCCAUCUGGGUUUGGGGUUUCGCUGACUUUCCAGCCCACUAUGGGCCUGGCCCCAGGAAAGAUUUGUUGAACGGGAAAUUAAGACGGGAAUUGGUUCGUUUGAGAACCGUUUUCUAGCAGCUGCUGCGUGCUCCACAAGGUGCCGGAACGGGAUCUCCAGAGUGACCUUGUGCCCAAAGCUUGUAGUCAGCGGUGAGAAACGAGAAACGGAUACAAAGUAAUGGGGGAGGAGGUAAAUCAGAGGAACAGGCAUCAGGAACAGAAAUACACAGGAAACGCUGUACAUACGCUGAAGCAGAACUGCAGUUUCCGAAGGCCAGCAUCUGGUCCACAUAGUACUAGAGAAUAUAUUAUUUCCAAAAUCACCUAACUUUUACUCAUGCACUUAUUAUAGUAAGUUGUUUUUGUUCUUUUUUUAAAAAAUAAAUCUCAGCGAUUUGUUCCUGAAAA